This 491-nucleotide ribosomal RNA is filed under the name uncultured bacterium. RNAcentral describes it as "partial 16S ribosomal RNA". It matches the Rfam family "Bacterial small subunit ribosomal RNA", at positions 28 to 507 of the family's 1533-position model. The record is from RNAcentral.
GAUGAACGCUAGCUACAGGCUUAACACAUGCAAGUCGAGGGGAAGCGAUGAGAGAGCUUGCUCUCUUAGUCGUCGACCGGCGCACGGGUGAGUAACGCGUAUCCAACCUGCCUCUGACCAAGGGAUAACCCGUCGAAAGUCGGACUAAUACCUUAUGCAGUCGUCGGAAGUCAUCUGAUGACGACGAAAGAUUUCAUCGGUGAGAGAUGGGGAUGCGUCUGAUUAGCUUGUUGGCGGGGUAACGGCCCACCAAGGCGACGAUCAGUAGGGGUUCUGAGAGGAAGGUCCCCCACAUUGGAACUGAGACACGGUCCAAACUCCUACGGGAGGCAGCAGUGAGGAAUAUUGGUCAAUGGGCGUAAGCCUGAACCAGCCAAGUAGCGUGCAGGAUGACGGCCCUAUGGGUUGUAAACUGCUUUUAUGCGGGGAUAAAGUGAGGGACGUGUCCUUCAUUGCAGGUACCGCAUGAAUAAGGACCGGCUAAUUCCGUG